Potamilus streckersoni is the source of this 73-nucleotide non-coding RNA. The record is from the annotation of a GenBank genome assembly. NCBI's taxonomy places the organism in Eukaryota, Metazoa, Mollusca, Bivalvia, Unionida, Unionidae.
GCUCCAGUGGCCUAGUGGUUAGAGCGUUAUCCUCAUAUGCGGGCGGUCGUGGGUUCGAUCCCCGGUCGAGUCA